This 466-nucleotide ribosomal RNA is filed under the name uncultured bacterium. RNAcentral describes it as "partial 16S ribosomal RNA". It matches the Rfam family "Bacterial small subunit ribosomal RNA", at positions 28 to 507 of the family's 1533-position model. The record is from RNAcentral.
GAUGAACGCUGGCGGCGUGCUUAACACAUGCAAGUCGAACGAUGAAGCCCAGCUUGCUCGGUGGAUUAGUGGCGAACGGGUGAGUAACACGUGAGUAACCUGCCCUUAACUCUGGGAUAAGCCUGGGAAACUGGGUCUAAUACCGGAUAGGAGCGUCCACCGCAUGGUGGGUGUUGGAAAGAUUUAUCGGUUUUGGAUGGACUCGCGGCCUAUCAGCUUGUUGGUGAGGUAAUGGCUCACCAAGGCGACGACGGGUAGCCGGCCUGAGAGGGUGACCGGCCACACUGGGACUGAGACACGGCCCAGACUCCUACGGGAGGCAGCAGUGGGGAAUAUUGCACAAUGGGCGCAAGCCUGAUGCAGCGACGCCGCGUGAGGGAUGACGGCCUUCGGGUUGUAAACCUCUUUCAGUAGGGAAGAAGCGAAAGUGACGGUACCUGCAGAAGAAGCACCGGCUAACUACGUG